RNAcentral lists this ribosomal RNA (429 nucleotides) under Gemmatimonadota bacterium. RNAcentral's name for it is "Gemmatimonadetes bacterium partial 16S ribosomal RNA". It matches the Rfam family "Bacterial small subunit ribosomal RNA", at positions 355 to 776 of the family's 1533-position model. The record is from RNAcentral. Lineage: Bacteria; Pseudomonadati; Gemmatimonadota.
UAGGGAAUCUUCGGCAAUGGACGAAAGUCUGACCGAGCAACGCCGCGUGAGUGAAGAAGGUUUUCGGAUCGUAAAACUCUGUUGUUAGAGAAGAACAAGGACGUUAGUAACUGAACGUCCCCUGACGGUAUCUAACCAGAAAGCCACGGCUAACUACGUGCCAGCAGCCGCGGUAAUACGUAGGUGGCAAGCGUUGUCCGGAUUUAUUGGGCGUAAAGCGAGCGCAGGCGGUUUCUUAAGUCUGAUGUGAAAGCCCCCGGCUCAACCGGGGAGGGUCAUUGGAAACUGGGAGACUUGAGUGCAGAGGAGGAGAGUGGGAUUCCAUGUGUAGCGGUGAGAUGCGUAGAUAUAUGGAGGAACACCAGUGGCGAAGGCGGCUCUCUGGUCUGUAACUGACGCUGAGGCUCGAAAGCGUGGGGAGCAAACAGG